RNAcentral lists this ribosomal RNA (1377 nucleotides) under Thermococcus sp. 21-1. Its description in RNAcentral is "16S ribosomal RNA". It matches the Rfam family "Archaeal small subunit ribosomal RNA". The record is from RNAcentral. Lineage: Archaea; Methanobacteriati; Methanobacteriota; Thermococci; Thermococcales; Thermococcaceae.
CCGGCGGACGGCUCAGUAACACGUCGGUAACCUACCCUCGGGAGGGGGAUAACCCCGGGAAACUGGGGCUAAUCCCCCAUAGGCCUGGGGUACUGGAAGGUCCCCAGGCCGAAAGGGGCUCUGCCCGCCCGAGGAUGGGCCGGCGGCCGAUUAGGUAGUUGGUGGGGUAACGGCCCACCAAGCCGAAGAUCGGUACGGGCCAUGAGAGUGGGAGCCCGGAGAUGGACACUGAGACACGGGUCCAGGCCCUACGGGGCGCAGCAGGCGCGAAACCUCCGCAAUGCGGGCAACCGCGACGGGGGGACCCCCAGUGCCGUGGCACAGCCACGGCUUUUCCGGAGUGUAAAAAGCUCCGGGAAUAAGGGCUGGGCAAGGCCGGUGGCAGCCGCCGCGGUAAUACCGGCGGCCCAAGUGGUGGCCGCUAUUAUUGGGCCUAAAGCGUCCGUAGCCGGGCCCGUAAGUCCCUGGCGAAAUCCCACGGCUCAACCGUGGGGCUUGCUGGGGAUACUGCGGGCCUUGGGACCGGGAGAGGCCGGGGGUACCCCUGGGGUAGGGGUGAAAUCCUAUAAUCCCAGGGGGACCGCCAGUGGCGAAGGCGCCCGGCUGGAACGGGUCCGACGGUGAGGGACGAAGGCCAGGGGAGCGAACCGGAUUAGAUACCCGGGUAGUCCUGGCUGUAAAGGAUGCGGGCUAGGUGUCGGGCGAGCUUCGAGCUCGCCCGGUGCCGGAGGGAAGCCGUUAAGCCCGCCGCCUGGGGAGUACGGCCGCAAGGCUGAAACUUAAAGGAAUUGGCGGGGGAGCACUACAAGGGGUGGAGCGUGCGGUUUAAUUGGAUUCAACGCCGGGAACCUCACCGGGGGCGACGGCAGGAUGAAGGCCAGGCUGAAGGUCUUGCCGGACGCGCCGAGAGGAGGUGCAUGGCCGCCGUCAGCUCGUACCGUGAGGCGUCCACUUAAGUGUGGUAACGAGCGAGACCCGCGCCCCCAGUUGCCAGUCCUCCCCGCUGGGGAGGAGGCACUCUGGGGGGACCGCCGGCGAUAAGCCGGAGGAAGGAGCGGGCGACGGUAGGUCAGUAUGCCCCGAAACCCCCGGGCUACACGCGCGCUACAAUGGGCGGGACAAUGGGAUCCGACCCCGAAAGGGGAAGGGAAUCCCCUAAACCCGCCCUCAGUUCGGAUCGCGGGCUGCAACUCGCCCGCGUGAAGCUGGAAUCCCUAGUACCCGCGUGUCAUCAUCGCGCGGCGAAUACGUCCCUGCUCCUUGCACACACCGCCCGUCACUCCACCCGAGCGGGGUCCGGGUGAGGCCUGGUCUCCCUUCGGGGAGGCCGGGUCGAGCCUGGGCUCCGUGAGGGGGGAGAAGUCGUAACAAGGUAGC